CCUACGGGAGGCAGCAGUGGGGAAUAUUGCGCAAUGGGCGAACGCCUGACGCAGCGACGCAGCGUGAGGGAUGAAGGUCUUCGGAUCGUAAAACUCUGUCAGCAGGGAAGAACGGUCACUGUGCUAAUCAGCAGUGAAUUGACGGUACCUGCAAAGGAAGCAACGGCUAACUCCGUGCCAGGAGCCGAGGUAAUAAGGAGGGUGCGAGCUUUAAUCUGCUUUACUGGGCGGAAAGCGCUCGUAGGCGGUAUGUCAAGUCAAGGGUGAAAUCCCCGCGCUCAACGUGGGAACUGCCGUUGAAACUGGCAAACUUGAGGGUGUGAGAGGAUAGUGGAAUUCCAGGUGUAGGAGUGAAAUCCGUAGAUAUCUGGAGGAACGUCAGUUGCGAAGGCGACUAUCUGGCACAUAACUGACGCUGAGGAGCGAAAGCGUGGGUAGCAAACAGGAUUAGAUACCCCUGUAGUC
RNAcentral lists this ribosomal RNA (465 nucleotides) under uncultured bacterium. RNAcentral's name for it is "partial 16S ribosomal RNA". It matches the Rfam family "Bacterial small subunit ribosomal RNA", at positions 338 to 795 of the family's 1533-position model. The record is from RNAcentral.